This 820-nucleotide ribosomal RNA is filed under the name Salmonella enterica. Its description in RNAcentral is "partial 23S ribosomal RNA". It matches the Rfam family "Bacterial large subunit ribosomal RNA", at positions 2113 to 2925 of the family's 2925-position model. The record is from RNAcentral. Lineage: Bacteria; Pseudomonadati; Pseudomonadota; Gammaproteobacteria; Enterobacterales; Enterobacteriaceae.
GACACUGAACAUUGAGCCUUGAUGUGUAGGAUAGGUGGGAGGCUUUGAAGCGUGGACGCCAGUCUGCGUGGAGCCGACCUUGAAAUACCACCCUUUAAUGUUUGAUGUUCUAACGUGGACCCGUAAUCCGGGUUGCGGACAGUGUCUGGUGGGUAGUUUGACUGGGGCGGUCUCCUCCUAAAGAGUAACGGAGGAGCACGAAGGUUGGCUAAUCCUGGUCGGACAUCAGGAGGUUAGUGCAAUGGCAUAAGCCAGCUUGACUGCGAGCGUGACGGCGCGAGCAGGUGCGAAAGCAGGUCAUAGUGAUCCGGUGGUUCUGAAUGGAAGGGCCAUCGCUCAACGGAUAAAAGGUACUCCGGGGAUAACAGGCUGAUACCGCCCAAGAGUUCAUAUCGACGGCGGUGUUUGGCACCUCGAUGUCGGCUCAUCACAUCCUGGGGCUGAAGUAGGUCCCAAGGGUAUGGCUGUUCGCCAUUUAAAGUGGUACGCGAGCUGGGUUUAGAACGUCGUGAGACAGUUCGGUCCCUAUCUGCCGUGGGCGCUGGAGAACUGAGGGGGGCUGCUCCUAGUACGAGAGGACCGGAGUGGACGCAUCACUGGUGUUCGGGUUGUCAUGCCAAUGGCACUGCCCGGUAGCUAAAUGCGGAAGAGAUAAGUGCUGAAAGCAUCUAAGCACGAAACUUGCCCCGAGAUGAGUUCUCCCUGAGACUUAGAGUCUCCUGAAGGAACGUUGAAGACGACGACGUUGAUAGGCCGGGUGUGUAAGCGCAGCGAUGCGUUGAGCUAACCGGUACUAAUGAACCGUGAGGCUUAACCUUAC